Non-coding RNA from Pelobates cultripes (western spadefoot toad), 207 nucleotides. The record is from the annotation of a GenBank genome assembly. Lineage: Eukaryota; Metazoa; Chordata; Amphibia; Anura; Pelobatidae.
CUUGUUUCUACCCUUCAAUAUAGCUUCUGGAAAUCUGCUAUACUUAAACGCUGAACUGUCACUUCUCUUCCCGUUAAAACACUAUUGAAGUGCUUACUAGGCUGAGGAGUGCAGUGAAGCAAAGGAAAAAAAUGCAUUGUUUAAGAAAAUGUUAUCACCCAAUGAUGCCAGAGGGCUAUAGCCAGGCAUACAAUGCAAUUAAUAAAC